This 507-nucleotide long non-coding RNA is filed under the name Cricetulus griseus (Chinese hamster). RNAcentral describes it as "lncRNA (ENSCGRG00015033391.1)". The record is from RNAcentral. Lineage: Eukaryota; Metazoa; Chordata; Mammalia; Rodentia; Cricetidae.
GAAAUAAUCAUUUCAACACUUGGGCUGGAAUGCAGUGGAUGAAGAGUCCACACUAACCACCAGUCAAAGACACUGGUGCCCAGACUAAGGACUGAUUCUGAUGGACAUGCAGUCCCCACAUAUCCAGAACUCUCUACCCAGAUCCUUUGCAAUCUCCUUUUGCAGGAAUUCUCUUUACUAGCUUCCAGGUUCAGGCGUACAGAAACUUGAUCCUGUUUAUCUUCUUGAAACUCCUUGUGGACCACAGUUCCAUGGAAUCAUUCCAGUUUUGAAUUAACAAUCUUCAGCUUGGAAAGGUCAGAAGAAACAACGAUAAGACAAAACCAAAGCCCAAGAUAAGCACUAGGAUUGGAAGAAUGACUCAAAAAAAAACCUUUAUUCUCACAAUCUGGGUAGAAGAAAUGUGAAUAUUUUGGAGGUGAAAAGACAGUUCUUUGAAACAGAUCUUUGAGGAGCCAGAGAACACAAAAGAUGGGCCACGGUGGUUUACAUUUCCAAAGACCAGAG